AGUCUGAGAUGACUAUAGUGUUUGUGUGAGUACAUAAAAAAUAAAACUCAACGGCUAGGAAACUAGUUGAUGGCAGAAAAUACUUCUAAGUAAGGACUAACCUCCUUAUAUGAUGCUAUUUUCUUUAAGGUGCCACAGAGACGAGCUCUUUAGAAAUAGAGAGAGUGAAACGCGGUAAACCCCUCAAGCA
This 190-nucleotide RNase P RNA is filed under the name Candidatus Mycoplasma haematolamae. RNAcentral describes it as "Candidatus Mycoplasma haemolamae partial ribonuclease P RNA". It matches the Rfam family "Bacterial RNase P class B", at positions 56 to 232 of the family's 365-position model. Rfam says of the family: Ribonuclease P (RNase P) is a ubiquitous endoribonuclease, found in archaea, bacteria and eukarya as well as chloroplasts and mitochondria. Its best characterised activity is the generation of mature 5'-ends of tRNAs by cleaving the 5'-leader elements of precursor-tRNAs. Cellular RNase Ps are ribonucleoproteins. Lineage: Bacteria; Bacillati; Mycoplasmatota; Mollicutes; Mycoplasmatales; Mycoplasmataceae. The record is from RNAcentral.